GUAAACAAAAAAGGAAAAUUAUGUUGUUUUUCAGUAAAGUAUCAAUGCUUUCAAGAUUGUUGAGACUUGAGAGUAUGUAGGGAAAGAAAUAGAAAAUGCAUCUUUUGUGCUGUUUAGUUUCCAUAAUUAGAAUGCAUAACUAGUUUUGAAAGAAUAUUGAGCUUAGUUGAGUUCAGUCUUAUGGGUGGGGAAGUGAUCGAGGGAAAGCAGGGGAUUAAAUUGGGGCUUCUGUGUUCCUGGAUUUAGAUAACUCAUCAAUAAUUAGAAAAUCAAUUUAGCUUUAACU
Molecule: unclassified non-coding RNA, 286 nt
Filed under: Hevea brasiliensis (rubber tree)
Lineage: Eukaryota; Viridiplantae; Streptophyta; Magnoliopsida; Malpighiales; Euphorbiaceae
Source: RNAcentral